RNAcentral lists this ribosomal RNA (804 nucleotides) under uncultured Bacillota bacterium. RNAcentral's name for it is "bacterial SSU rRNA". It matches the Rfam family "Bacterial small subunit ribosomal RNA", at positions 78 to 914 of the family's 1533-position model. Lineage: Bacteria; Bacillati; Bacillota. The record is from RNAcentral.
AGCAAUCCAUGAGUACAGUGGCGUACGGGUGAGUAACACGUGGAUCAUCUACCUCUUUGUGGGGAAUAACCCUGGGAAACCGGGGAUAAUACCGCAUAAGCCUGAGAAGGGAAAGCAGCAAUGCGCUGAGAGAGGAGUCCGCGGCCGAUUAGCUAGUUGGCAGGGUAAAAGCCUACCAAGGCAGAGAUCGGUAGCCGGCCUGAGAGGGCACACGGCCACACUGGCACUGAAACACGGGCCAGACUCCUACGGGAGGCAGCAGUGGGGAAUCUUGCACAAUGGGGGAAACCCUGAUGCAGCGACGCCGCGUGAGCGAUGAAGCCCUUCGGGGUGUAAAGCUCUUUCGGCAGGGAAGAUUAUGACGGUACCUGCAGAAGCAGCUGCGGCUAACUACGUGCCAGCAGCCGCGGUAAUACGUAGGCAGCAAGCGUUGUUCGGAGUUACUGGGCGUAAAGGGUGUGUAGGCGGUUGUUUAAGUUUGGUGUGAAAUCUCCCGGCUCAACUGGGAGGGUGCGCCGAAUACUGAAUGACUUCGAGUGCGGGAGAGGAUAGUGGAAUUCCUGGUGUAGCGGUGAAAUGCGUAGAUAUCAGGAGGAACACCGGUGGUGUAGACGGCUAUCUGGACCGUAACUGACGCUGAGACACGAAAGCGUGGGUAGCAAACAGGAUUAGAUACCCUGGUAGUCCACGCCCUAAACGAUGCAUAUUUGGUGUGGGUCAUUCAGUUGAUCCGUGCCGGAGCUAACGCGUUAAAUAUGCCGCCUGGGGAGUACAGUCGCAAGGCUGAAACUCAAAGGAAUUGAC